AUAAUAUAAAUGAGUUAAUAUCCAAUUUAAUCUUCAAUUGUAGUGUUUUUUUUCUUCUCCCAAAAGGUUAAAUCCCCAACCCUAAGGACCGACAGAACAUUUGGAAAGGUGUAAAUCACAGUGACUCAGUAGACGGGGCCAAAUGUUGCUGCCUACAAGGGAUCUGCCCACUUUGGGCAUGAUCCCCACACUGCCGUUGCUGAGUUUUGAACAUUGGUCUAUUCUCCCAAAUACUGUCUACUGAACUAGUAGCAGUAUCUAAGUACAAGAUGAUCAAUGCUGCAGGGGAAGAAGGAUUUGGAGAAGCAUGCGAGGAAUUGUACGAGAAACUGAGAGUGCUAGAA
Molecule: long non-coding RNA, 344 nt
Organism: Ipomoea triloba (trilobed morning glory)
Lineage: Eukaryota; Viridiplantae; Streptophyta; Magnoliopsida; Solanales; Convolvulaceae
Exons: 2
Source: RefSeq, a predicted model, not a curated record